RNAcentral lists this long non-coding RNA (1971 nucleotides) under Salmo salar (Atlantic salmon). RNAcentral describes it as "lncRNA (ENSSSAG00000083684.1)". The record is from RNAcentral. Lineage: Eukaryota; Metazoa; Chordata; Actinopteri; Salmoniformes; Salmonidae.
ACGGCUUCCACUAGAAGUCAACAGUCUUUACAAAGUUGUUUGAAGCGUCUACGAUGAACAGAGACCGAAUGAGAAGGAGGGGAACUUGUUGAGGCAGGGGAUGACAUCACUUCUUGGCGCACGUUGAUGAGAGUGGAUCCUCCGUUCCAAAACCUUUUUCAAGACACAGGAACUGAAAUAUUACUGAAUAUUCACGUUCUGAAGGCCCUAAAGAUUGAUGUUUUACAACGUUUGACAUGUUUGAACGAACGUAAAUACAACUUUUCUUUACUUUUCAUCGCGACAUCGUCUGCGCGCUUCCUACUUUUGGAGUAGCUUACUGAACGCACGAACAACAAGGAGUUAUUUGGACAAAAAUGAUGGACUUUAUUGAACAAAACAACAUUUGUUUGAGAUUCCUGGAAGUGCCUUCUGAUGAAGAUCAUCAAAGACGGACCACGAGGCUUCAACAGUAUCAGUGGGUUGACCUGUACUGGCACUGCCUUUCUGGUCCAUCGGAAAAGAAAGAGAGCACCUGAAGAACUGGGGAAGACACGGAGCAACAGUGGCCCAAACUGACUCCACAUACCACCCGGAACCCCCCAGUAUCCAGACCCAGCAAUGGACCAGCUGCCUGAGGAGAAGAUGACGGACUGCAAGCCUUAAGACAUGAGCUCUAGGAUCAUGCCUCAGAACUACCUGGCCUGAUGACUCCUGGCUGUCCCCAGCCCACCUGGUUAUGCUGCUGCUUCAGUUUCAACUGUUCAGCCUGCGGCUAGGGAACCCUGACCUGUUCACCGGACGUGCUACCUUGUCCUGGACCUGCUGUUUUCGACUCUCUCUCUCUCUACCGCACCUGCUGUCUCGACCUCUGAAUGCUCAGCUAUGAAACGCCAACUGACAUUUACUCCUGAGGACACUGGGCAGUAUAUGAGAGGCUGAUGUUUGAUGAGUUAUGUGGCCAUCCGUUCCUGCUGGACUAACCCAAGGCUAAGAUUACAUCACACUGGACACUAACCGCCUGGGACAAGACACCACCAACAGCCACUGGAAGAUCACUGGACCGAAGGACAUCAAAUCACAUACACAUACUUAGCAGAUGUUAUUACGGGUGUAGCGAAAUUAUUAUAAAUGAUCAUCGCCCCACCUACCACCAUCCCGACGAACUCUGCACUGACCACCACGACCCCUAGCUCUCACCUCCAAUUUAAUAGAGGUAAGAAGCCACCACCUUGCAUCCAACUCUUCAUAUAGCCGUGCAAAACACUGGACAUUCCAACCACCAUGACAGCCCACCAGCUCCCAAGUACCAGAACUCUUUACACCACAACAUCAGCCCCUCACCUUUUUCCCCCAUUGCCUUGCCAUUUGACCUACCGACCUAAUGCCACCCCUUUUCUAAACCCCAGUUAAAAUAGUAUAUGUGACCGACAGCCUUGCUUCGGUCUUAUUUAGCAAAAUUUGAAAUUGUGUUUUUUACAUUGGAUGAAAGCAGCUACAAAAUGGUAUAUCACACACUGCAUUUGAGGAAAAAUGGGAAAGUAAUUCUGCUUUGAAAUUUGACAAACCUUUGAGAAAAUGGCCUUUGAAUGUUUUGGUACCUACUGGAGAGCUCUUCUUUGUCUACACCCAUUCAGCAUCGUUCACACCCUCUUAAGCUUUAGCUCCACCAAUCUCUUUAAGGGUUGAACUGACCGUUCUGUCCUAACAACAGCAGUCAAGCUAACUGGCUAAGAGUUGUCGCGGUGAAAUUCUAUUGAAAUGAAUACUUGCAUAGUAGUCUUUUGUUAAGACAUGUAGCUAGCUAAUUAACCAUAAUCUCAACUCAUGAUGUUAAUACCCUGCAUGAAUCUGCAGGUAGCUAACCAACCAGGUUCAAUGUUAGUGAGCUAACAUUAGGCUAUAACUACAUUUACAUUUUAGUCAUUUAGCAGACGCUCGUAGCCAGAGCGACUUACAGUGGUGAAUGCAUAAAUUUCUUUUUUUUUUCUU